UAUGAGAUUCUCGUCCAUCUCAUAUCGAGUACCAUGAUGGAAAACGCGAGCGAUCCGACUGAAAGCACGAUAAACCAAACCAUAGACGGUUUUUUCACCGGUCAGCCGUACAGAACUGUUAAUCAGUUCAUAGCUACUAACCGUUAUUUUUUCCAAUCGGAUCGGCCGUUAUAAUUGUUCAAACCAAAUGACGUCUCGAUAAUAUACAUCGAAAUAUUAGUACACACAUACCGUUUUUGUUAUUAUGACAUGCAGCAAUGAUUUUCAAUGCAUUACUUUGUACGUCAACUAGGAUUAUGUGAAAAACACAAGACUGCCGGUUUAGCUGCGACAGCACA
This is a long non-coding RNA of Sipha flava (yellow sugarcane aphid), 338 nucleotides long. RefSeq lists it as uncharacterized. NCBI's taxonomy places the organism in Eukaryota, Metazoa, Arthropoda, Insecta, Hemiptera, Aphididae. The record is from RefSeq and is a predicted model, not a curated record. The transcript is spliced from 3 exons.